RNAcentral lists this ribosomal RNA (406 nucleotides) under uncultured bacterium. RNAcentral describes it as "partial 16S ribosomal RNA". It matches the Rfam family "Bacterial small subunit ribosomal RNA", at positions 30 to 526 of the family's 1533-position model. The record is from RNAcentral.
AUUGAACGCUGGCGGCAGGCCUAACACAUGCAAGUCGAACGAGUGGCGGACGGGUGAGUAAUGUCUGGGAAACUGCCCGAUGGAGGGGGAUAACUACUGGAAACGGUAGCUAAUACCGCAUACCAUCGGAUGUGCCCAUAUGGGAUUAGCUAGUAGGUGGGGUAAAGGCUCACCUAGGCGACGAUCCCUAGCUGGUUUGAGAGGAUGACCAGCCACACUGGGACUGAGACACGGUCCAGACUCCUACGGGAGGCAGCAGUGGGGAAUAUUGGACAAUGGGGGCAACCCUGAUGCAGCCAUGCCGCGUGUAUGAAGAAGGCCUUCGGGUUGUAAAGUACUUUCAGCGGAGAGGCGUUACCUGCAGAAGAAGCACCGGCUAACUCCGUGCCAGCAGCCGCGGUAAUAC